GGGCCAGUAGUUCAGUGGAUAGAAUAGCUGCUUGCGGAGCAGUUGGUCGCAGGUUCGAAUCCUGUCUGGCCCGCCA
This 76-nucleotide transfer RNA is filed under the name Candidatus Heimdallarchaeota archaeon. RNAcentral's name for it is "tRNA-Arg". It matches the Rfam family "tRNA". From Rfam's summary of the family: Transfer RNA (tRNA) molecules are approximately 80 nucleotides in length. Their secondary structure includes four short double-helical elements and three loops (D, anti-codon, and T loops). The record is from RNAcentral. Lineage: Archaea; Promethearchaeati; Candidatus Heimdallarchaeota.